Molecule: non-coding RNA, 24 nt
Filed under: Arabidopsis thaliana (thale cress)
Lineage: Eukaryota; Viridiplantae; Streptophyta; Magnoliopsida; Brassicales; Brassicaceae
Source: RNAcentral
ACGAGGAUCCGAUUGUGUUGAGGG